Molecule: ribosomal RNA, 449 nt
Filed under: uncultured bacterium
Lineage: Bacteria
Description: bacterial SSU rRNA
Rfam family: Bacterial small subunit ribosomal RNA
Source: RNAcentral
UGGGGAAUUUUGGACAAUGGGGGCAACCCUGAUCCAGCAAUGCCGCGUGUGUGAAGAAGGCCUUCGGGUUGUAAAGCACUUUUGUCCGGAAAGAAAACCUCCGUCCUAAUACGGUGGGGGGAUGACGGUACCGGAAGAAUAAGCACCGGCUAACUACGUGCCAGCAGCCGCGGUAAUACGUAGGGUGCAAGCGUUAAUCGGAAUUACUGGGCGUAAAGCGUGCGCAGGCGGUUCGCUAAGACCGAUGUGAAAUCCCCGGGCUUAACCUGGGAACUGCAUUGGUGACUGGCGGGCUAGAGUAUGGCAGAGGGGGGUAGAAUUCCACGUGUAGCAGUGAAAUGCGUAGAGAUGUGGAGGAAUACCGAUGGCGAAGGCAGCCCCCUGGGCCAAUACUGACGCUCAUGCACGAAAGCGUGGGGAGCAAACAGGAUUAGAUACCCCCGUAGUCC